This 314-nucleotide long non-coding RNA is filed under the name Homo sapiens (human). RNAcentral describes it as "HSALNT0378349". The record is from RNAcentral. Lineage: Eukaryota; Metazoa; Chordata; Mammalia; Primates; Hominidae.
GCUUGAGAGAGAAAAGGACACAGAUGAAGAGUCACAUAGGGUGAAGUAUAGAGUGGUUGAGCGCCCCGUCUCUACACUUCACCUUUUGUAUCUCUUCAUAUGUAUCCUUUGUAAUAUACUUUAUAAUAAACCAAUAAUCGCAAAUGGAGCCCCACUCUGUUGCCCAGACUGGAGUGCAGUGGCGUGAUCUCGGCUCACCGCAACUUCCGCCUCCCGGGUUCAAGUGAUUCUCCUGCCUCAGCCUUCCAACUAGCUGGGAUUGCAGGUAAUGAGCUAUGUGACUAAUUUCUGGCCAAUGGAAUGUGAAGAGAAGG